GGACUACUCGGGUUUCUAAUCCUGUUUGCUACCCACGCUUUCGUGUCUCAGCGUCAGUUACGGUCCAGAGAGCCGUCUACACCACCGGUGUUCCUCCUGAUAUCUACGCAUUUCACCGCUACACCAGGAAUUCCACUCUCCCCUCCCGCACUCUAGCCCCCCAGUUUUCGGCGCACCCUCCCGGUUGAGCCGGGAGAUUUCACACCAAACUUAGGGAGCCGCCUACACACCCUUUACGCCCAGUAACUCCGAACAACGCUCGCUGCCUACGUAUUACCGCGGCUGCUGGCAC
This 292-nucleotide ribosomal RNA is filed under the name uncultured Acidobacteriota bacterium. Its description in RNAcentral is "uncultured Acidobacteria bacterium partial 16S ribosomal RNA". The record is from RNAcentral. Lineage: Bacteria; Pseudomonadati; Acidobacteriota.